UGAUACUCUUCCUUAACUAGCAAGGUCACCAGACCUUUCACCAAUCGAGCAUGUCUGGGACAUGGUAAGCCGCCAGAUUCGGGCAUCACAAAAUAUUGCAGAUCCAGAGCGACAACUGAUGAAUACCUGGCGAAAUUUAUGCAGGACGGCAUUAGAAACCUCUACCAUUCCUUGCCUCGACGAAUUCAAGCAUGCAUUGCCGCCAGGGGUGGUUCGACCAACUACUAAUUUGAACAUUCAGUGGGUGAUUGUGAGCCGUGAACAGGUUACAAGCAUUCGAAAGCGAUGUUGUUCAUUAUUUGCUGGAAAGAUGUUACUGGAUUAGGUAUGGAGACAGUGACGUAGUGGCGGAUCUUCUUUUCACGCUUUUCAAAGUAGAUGGCCAUUUGGGAAAAAUCUUUGAUUACCAGCAGUUAUCUGUAAGAGUUACCAAAAGAAGAAGAAGGGAUCCCGAAAGCAAGUCACUAUACUUUGCGUCUACGUGGACAGAUGAAGACGUUUGGUUUGAGUCGAUUAAACCUAUGGAUUAUUUUAUGGAGCACGCUUAUAAGAAGAAGCUUCUCUUCAGUGGGAAACGCUUUGCUGAACAUCAUAUCAUUCAGUGCAUCAAGAGGUUACCUAGGCAUUCACUUGAUAUCUUGAUAUUGCCUCCUUGCUCUAGGACUUUUAUAUUUCCAGAUGUGUUACCCAAGCUAUUGCGCUAUGGUCUUUUCGCCAAUGGCAAUCCCAAAGAUGGAAUAGUCGAAAAGCUAUUAACGGGCAUUAUAGGCAUAUUUUUGUCCUCUGUUAGGAAUAGUGAGACUUACAUAUAUCCUCUACCAUGGGUAAUCGAGAUGGGCAACACCCUUCUAAGAGCAGUCAUAUCUGUCAAUAUUUUCGAACUCCUCAAAGAUCAGAAAAUACAGAAUAGAACAAUGAUUACUUGUGCACUUGUAGAUGAAAUGAGCGCACGUCAUCUGUUUCCAAAACUCAAGCAGAGAUGUGGCGAACUUCAAGAGUUACAGCACAUGUGUCGUUAUCGUAUCAGGCAACAGCUGUAUGAGAACUGGCAGUUACCGCACGGAAUAUCGUUUUUAUCUUUGCCAAAUCUUUUGAAAGAGUAUCUGAAUUUGGAAAGAGAUUGAAGGAAUUGUAAUGUACAGAAUCUUUGUUUUAAUUUGCAUGCUCAUAAUGUAUGAUAAAUAAACGUUAUAGUCAUAUA
Molecule: unclassified non-coding RNA, 1201 nt
Filed under: Stegodyphus dumicola
Lineage: Eukaryota; Metazoa; Arthropoda; Arachnida; Araneae; Eresidae
Description: uncharacterized LOC118192519, transcript variant X3
Source: RNAcentral